Molecule: transfer-messenger RNA, 349 nt
Filed under: Candidatus Aminicenantota bacterium
Lineage: Bacteria; Candidatus Aminicenantota
Rfam family: transfer-messenger RNA
About the family: Bacterial tmRNA, also known as 10Sa RNA or SsrA, is named for its dual tRNA and mRNA-like properties. Its role is to liberate the mRNA from a stalled ribosome. To accomplish this part of the tmRNA is used as a reading frame that ends in a translation stop signal.
Source: RNAcentral
GGGGGCGAACAGGUUUCGACGGAGAUAGUGAUGCAGAAGUUGCAUGUCGAGGUUCCACCCACCUCGAAAAAAGGUGGAAAACAACUAAGUGCAGAAUCACUGCCUGUUGCUGCCUAACAAGUAGGCAUGCCGUUUCUCAGGCGUUUUCCUGCGGUGCUUGAGAAGCGCCGACCAGCAGGAUAGCGAGUCAGGUUCGUCCUGAGCCUGAUAAGCGAAAUUUCAUCAGGGCUGGUUCGACAGUGUUUUUCCUCUUCGAACACUUUUGAACGAGAAGCAGAAGAGGAUAAGCAUGUAGAAGCUGUCUGCUGAAUGUCUUCGGACGCGGGUUCGAUUCCCGCCGCCUCCAUUA